CUUUCUCUUUGGUGGCUGAAGAAAUUGUGAGGAAUAAGAUGAAGAACACAAGUUAACUUUGGAUUUUUUCUGAAAGUUGUAAACUUAGCUUGAGCAAAAUUUCUUAUUGGUGGCGUUUAGGGGAUUUACUUUUGGCAUUACUUGAAGACAUAUGAGGACAUCUUCCGUUAGUUCUAAAAUAGGGUUUAGGUAGAGUUAUUGUAUGUAUUGCAAACAAUUAUUAUAUGGAAUGAGUUUGAAUUGGAUUCUUGUUUUA
Quercus lobata is the source of this 256-nucleotide long non-coding RNA. RefSeq lists it as uncharacterized. The record is from RefSeq and is a predicted model, not a curated record. The transcript has 2 exons. NCBI's taxonomy places the organism in Eukaryota, Viridiplantae, Streptophyta, Magnoliopsida, Fagales, Fagaceae.